UGCUUUUGUGGUGUAAUAUAAACACAUUACAUUUUCAAUGUAAAGAUAAGAAUUUAUUCUUUUAAAGUAU
This 70-nucleotide transfer RNA is filed under the name Odontodactylus havanensis. RNAcentral describes it as "tRNA-Glu". It matches the Rfam family "tRNA". From Rfam's summary of the family: Transfer RNA (tRNA) molecules are approximately 80 nucleotides in length. The record is from RNAcentral. Lineage: Eukaryota; Metazoa; Arthropoda; Malacostraca; Stomatopoda; Odontodactylidae.